CCUACGGGCGGCUGCAGUGGGGAAUAUUGGACAAUGGGGGCAACCCUGAUCCAGCCAUGCCGCGUGUGUGAAGAAGGCCCUCGGGUUGUAAAGCACUUUCAGUGAGGAAGAACGCCUGGUGGUUAAUACCCAUCAGGAAAGACAUCACUCACAGAAGAAGCACCGGCUAACUCCGGGCCAGCAGCCGCGGUAAUACGGAGGGUGCGAGCGUUAAUCGGAAUUACUGGGCGUAAAGCGCGCGUAGGUGGCUUGAUAAGCCGGUUGUGAAAGCCCCGGGCUCAAACUGGGAACGGCAUCCGGAGCUGUCAAGCUAGAGUGCAGGAGAGGAAGGUAGAAUUCCCGGUGUGGCGGUGAAAUGCGUAGAGAUCGGGAGGAAUACCAGUGGCGAAGGCGGCCUUCUGGACUGACACUGCCACUGAGGUGCGAAAGCGUGGGUAGCAAACAGGAUUAGAUACCCCGGUAGUA
Molecule: ribosomal RNA, 465 nt
Filed under: Vreelandella stevensii
Lineage: Bacteria; Pseudomonadati; Pseudomonadota; Gammaproteobacteria; Oceanospirillales; Halomonadaceae
Description: partial 16S ribosomal RNA
Rfam family: Bacterial small subunit ribosomal RNA
Source: RNAcentral